RNAcentral lists this ribosomal RNA (253 nucleotides) under uncultured bacterium. Its description in RNAcentral is "partial 16S ribosomal RNA". It matches the Rfam family "Bacterial small subunit ribosomal RNA", at positions 524 to 776 of the family's 1533-position model. The record is from RNAcentral.
UACAGAGACUGCGAGCGUUAUUCGGAUUCACUGGGCGUAAAGGGUGCGUAGGCGGUCGGGUAAGUCUGGCGUGAAAUCUCACAGCUUAACUGUGAAACUGCAUUGGAUACUAUCCGGCUCGAGGAAUGGAGGGGAGACUGGAAUACUUGGUGUAGCAGUGAAAUGCGUAGAUAUCAAGUGGAACACCAGUGGCGAAGGCGAGUCUCUGGACAUUUCCUGACGCUGAGGCACGAAAGCCAGGGGAGCAAACGGG